This 529-nucleotide ribosomal RNA is filed under the name uncultured bacterium. RNAcentral's name for it is "bacterial SSU rRNA". It matches the Rfam family "Bacterial small subunit ribosomal RNA", at positions 775 to 1302 of the family's 1533-position model. The record is from RNAcentral.
AGUCAAUAGAUACCCCGGUAGUCCACGCCGUAAACGAUGAGUACUAGGUGUAGGAGGUAUCGACUCCUUCUGUGCCGCAGUUAAACACAAUAAGUACUCCGCCUGGGAAGUACGGUCGCAAGAUUAAAACUCAAAGGAAUUGACGGGGGCCCGCACAAGCAGCGGAGCAUGUGGUUUAAUUCGAAGCAACGCGAAGAACCUUGCCUAGACUUGACAUCUCCUGAAUAGCGCAGAGAUGCGUGAAGCCCUUCGGGGCAGGAAGACAGGUGGUGCAUGGUUGUCGUCAGCUCGUGUCGUGAGAUGUCGGGUUAAGUCCCGCAACGAGCGCAACCCCUAUUAUUAGUUGCUACCAUUAAGUUGAGCACUCUAAUGAGACUGCCCGGGGUUAACCGGGAGGAAGGCGGGGAUGACGUCAAAUCAUCAUGCCCCUUAUGUCUAGGGCUACACACGUGCUACAAUGGUGAGAACAACGAGAUGCAAUACCGCGAGGUGGAGCAAAACUUGAAAACUCAUCUCAGUUCGGAUUGUA